UUACGGGAGGCAGCAGUAAGGAAUAUUGGUCAAUGGACGAAAGUCUGAACCAGCCAUGCCGCGUGAAGGAUGAAGGCCCUCUGGGUUGUAAACUUCUUUUAUAGGGGACGAAAAAAGCUCAUUCUUGAGCACUUGACGGUACCCUAGGAAUAAGCACCGGCUAACUCCGUGCCAGCAGCCGCGGUAAUACGGAGGGUGCAAGCGUUAUCCGGAUUUACUGGGUUUAAAGGGUGCGUAGGUGGGCAGUUAAGUCAGCGGUGAAAUCUCCGGGCUUAACCCGGAAACUGCCAUUGAUACUAUCUGUCUUGAAUAUCCUGGAGGUGAGCGGAAUAUGUCAUGUAGCGGUGAAAUGCUUAGAUAUGACAUAGAACACCAAUUGCGAAGGCAGCUCGCUACGGGAUUAUUGACACUGAGGCACGAAAGCGUGGGGAUCAAACAGGAUUAGAUACCCCGGUAGUCCU
Molecule: ribosomal RNA, 461 nt
Filed under: uncultured bacterium
Lineage: Bacteria
Description: bacterial SSU rRNA
Rfam family: Bacterial small subunit ribosomal RNA
Source: RNAcentral